Molecule: ribosomal RNA, 504 nt
Filed under: uncultured bacterium
Lineage: Bacteria
Description: partial 16S ribosomal RNA
Rfam family: Bacterial small subunit ribosomal RNA
Source: RNAcentral
AUUGAACGCUGGCGGCAGGCCUAACACAUGCAAGUCGAACGGUAGCACAGAGAGCUUGCUCUCGGGUGACGAGUGGCGGACGGGUGAGUAACGUCUGGGAAACUGCCCGAUGGAGGGGGAUAACUACUGGAAACGGUAGCUAAUACCGCAUAACGUCGCAAGACCAAAGUGGGGGACCUUCGGGCCUCACACCAUCGGAUGUGCCCAGAUGGGAUUAGCUAGUAGGUGGGGUAAUGGCUCACCUAGGCGACGAUCCCUAGCUGGUCUGAGAGGAUGACCAGCCACACUGGAACUGAGACACGGUCCAGACUCCUACGGGAGGCAGCAGUGGGGAAUAUUGCACAAUGGGCGCAAGCCUGAUGCAGCCAUGCCGCGUGUAUGAAGAAGGCCUUCGGGUUGUAAAGUACUUUCAGCGGGGAGGAAGGCGGUGAGGUUAAUAACCUUGCCGAUUGACGUUACCCGCAGAAGAAGCACCGGCUAACUCCGUGCCAGCCGCCGCGGUAA